RNAcentral lists this ribosomal RNA (253 nucleotides) under uncultured bacterium. Its description in RNAcentral is "partial 16S ribosomal RNA". It matches the Rfam family "Bacterial small subunit ribosomal RNA", at positions 524 to 776 of the family's 1533-position model. The record is from RNAcentral.
UACGGGGGGGGCAAGCGUUGUUCGGAAUUACUGGGCGUAAAGGGCUCGUAGGCGGCCAACUAAGUCAUACGUGAAAUCCCUCGGCUUAACCGGGGAACUGCGUCUGAUACUGGAUGGCUUGAGAUUGGGAGAGGGAUGCGGAAUUCCAGGUGUAGCGGUGAAAUGCGUAGAUAUCUGGAGGAACACCGGUGGCGAAGGCGAGUCUCUGGACGACUCCUGACACUGAGGCACGAAAGCUAGGGGAGCAAACAGG